Molecule: ribosomal RNA, 253 nt
Filed under: uncultured bacterium
Lineage: Bacteria
Description: partial 16S ribosomal RNA
Rfam family: Bacterial small subunit ribosomal RNA
Source: RNAcentral
UACGUAGGGGGCAAGCGUUGUCCGGAAUUAUUGGGCGUAAAGAGCGUGUAGGCGGCCAGAUAAGUCCGCUGUGAAAUCUCGAGGCUCAACUUCGAGCUGUCGGUGGAAACUAUCUGGCUAGAGUCCGGAAGAGGAGAAUGGAAUUCCUGGUGUAGCGGUGAAAUGCGCAGAUAUCAGGAGGAACACCGGUGGCGAAGGCGCCACUCUGGGCCGAAACUGACGCUGAGGAGCGAAAGCGUGGGUAGCAAACAGG